UACGGAGGAUCCAAGCGUUAUCCGGAAUCAUUGGAUUUAAAGGGUCCGUAGGCGGGCUAGUAAGUCAGUGGUGAAAUCUCCCGGCUCAACCGGGAAAUGGCCAUUGAUACUGCUAGUCUUGAAUUAUUGGGAAGUAACUAGAAUAUGUAGUGUAGCGGUGAAAUGCUUAGAGAUUACAUGGAAUACCAAUUGCGAAGGCAGGUUACUAUCAAUAUAUUGACGCUGAUGGACGAAAGCGUGGGUAGCGAACAGG
This 253-nucleotide ribosomal RNA is filed under the name uncultured bacterium. Its description in RNAcentral is "partial 16S ribosomal RNA". It matches the Rfam family "Bacterial small subunit ribosomal RNA", at positions 524 to 776 of the family's 1533-position model. The record is from RNAcentral.